RNAcentral lists this transfer RNA (75 nucleotides) under Planctomycetia bacterium. RNAcentral's name for it is "tRNA-Thr". It matches the Rfam family "tRNA". Rfam says of the family: Transfer RNA (tRNA) molecules are approximately 80 nucleotides in length. Their secondary structure includes four short double-helical elements and three loops (D, anti-codon, and T loops). RNAcentral also lists the same sequence under 1 other name. Lineage: Bacteria; Pseudomonadati; Planctomycetota; Planctomycetia. The record is from RNAcentral.
AGCCCGCGUAGCUCAACUGGCAGAGCGUCGCAUUCGUAAUGCGAAGGUUGGGAGUUCGAUUCUCCCCGCUGGCUU